This 291-nucleotide ribosomal RNA is filed under the name uncultured bacterium. RNAcentral's name for it is "partial 16S ribosomal RNA". It matches the Rfam family "Bacterial small subunit ribosomal RNA", at positions 355 to 638 of the family's 1533-position model. The record is from RNAcentral.
UAGGGAAUCUUCCACAAUGGACGCAAGUCUGAUGGAGCAACGCCGCGUGAGUGAAGAAGGCUUUCGGGUCGUAAAACUCUGUUAUUGAAGAAGAACGUGUGUGACAGUAACUGGUCAUGCAGUGACGGUAUUCAAUCAGAAAGUCACGGCUAACUACGUGCCAGCAGCCGCGGUAAUACGUAGGUGGCAAGCGUUGUCCGGAUUUAUUGGGCGUAAAGCGAGUGCAGGCGGUCUUUUAAGUCUGAUGUGAAAGCCUUCGGCUUAACCGAAGAAGGGCAUCGGAAACUGGGA